GGGGAAUAUUGCACAAUGGGGGAAACCCUGAUGCAGCGACGCCGCGUGGAGGAAGAAGGUCUUCGGAUUGUAAACUCCUGUUGUUGAGGAAGAUAAUGACGGUACUCAACAAGGAAGUGACGGCUAACUACGUGCCAGCAGCCGCGGUAAAACGUAGGUCACAAGCGUUGUCCGGAAUUACUGGGUGUAAAGGGAGCGCAGGCGGGCGAUCAAGUUGGAAGUGAAAUCCAUGGGCUCAACCCAUGAACUGCUUUCAAAACUGGUCGUCUUGAGUAGUGCAGAGGUAGGCGGAAUUCCCGGUGUAGCGGUGGAAUGCGUAGAUAUCGGGAGGAACACCAGUGGCGAAGGCGGCCUACUGGGCACCAACUGACGCUGAGGCUCGAAAGUGUGGGUAGCAAACAGGAUUAGAUACCCUGGUAGUCCACACCGUAAACGAUGAUUACUAGGUGUUGGGAGAUUGACCCUCUCAGUGCCGCAGUUAACACAAUAAGUAAUCCACCUGGGGAGUACGACCGCAAGGUUGAAACUCAAAGGAAUUGACGGGGGCCCGCACAAGCAGUGGAGUAUGUGGUUUAAUUCGACGCAACGCGAAGAACCUUACCAAGUCUUGACAUCCAUCGACGACUAUAGAAAUAUAGUUUUCCUUCGGGACGGUGAGACAGGUGGUGCAUGGUUGUCGUCAGCUCGUGUCGUGAGAUGUUGGGUUAAGUCCCGCAACGAGCGCAACCCUUAUGGUCAGUUACUACGCAAGAGGACUCUGGCCAGACUGCCGUUGACAAAACGGAGGAAGGUGGGGAUGACGUCAAAUCAUCAUGCCCCUUAUGACUUGGGCUACACACGUGCUACAAUGGCGUAAACAAAGGGAAGCAAUCCCGCGAGGGGGAGCAAAUCUCAAAAAUAACGUCUCAGUUCGGACUGUAGUCUGCAACUCGACUACACGAAGCUGGAAUCGCUAGUAAUCGCGAAUCAGAAUGUCGCGGUGAAUACGUUCCCG
RNAcentral lists this ribosomal RNA (994 nucleotides) under uncultured bacterium. Its description in RNAcentral is "bacterial SSU rRNA". It matches the Rfam family "Bacterial small subunit ribosomal RNA", at positions 356 to 1376 of the family's 1533-position model. The record is from RNAcentral.